Molecule: long non-coding RNA, 2058 nt
Organism: Acanthopagrus latus (yellowfin seabream)
Lineage: Eukaryota; Metazoa; Chordata; Actinopteri; Spariformes; Sparidae
Exons: 2
Source: RefSeq, a predicted model, not a curated record
AAAUAUGUCGUCACAUACACAGAAGUGUUCGAUCAGCUUUUAUUGUUUUGUUUCCUGUUUCAUUUGAUGUGUUUGGCCCUGACUCAUCAGCUGUUUGUCUGUUGAUGUUUAUUAGCAGGCGCGUUCAAGUUGAACUCCAGAGGGGUAUUGCACAAAAGUAGAAUCAGGCAAGCGCGGCUUGAUCUGCUCGGCGCAUCCUGGAUUAAUUGGUUGCAAGUUUGCCGAGCCAGGAUGAAAAGGCGCGGCUACGUCAAGCCAGGUGUAGGUGGGAUAAGUGCGUGUUCACGGCAUACUUAAAUAGACCUCACCUCGCUCACAGAAUCAUCGAUGGGAACAUGGAUAAGAGUCGCGCUUCAUAUUUCACGGCUGCUGAACAACAGCUCCUGAUGGAGUUCUAUGAAGAGGAUCCAAGCAGCCAGGAGAAAUGACUGCCAAAUAAACCCUCAGGCGGUGCAGGCACUGAAACCGAGAUUUCAGAAGGCUGGAGGUCAUCUCUAUUCGAGCCCUUGUCUUGCUGUGUGCAUGGCUGUAGGCCUGCUGUGGUGGGGUUUGGGGGUCUGCAUGGGGAGUCAAGACGAAUGACUCGCAGGCAUAACCUUGUCUCCCAGCAGCACACCAGAGAAUUUGCCUGAUAAUGCAAGAUAUCAUUUAGAAAACUACACAGCAGAGUUAAACACUCAUGAUGUCCAAGGUGCUUACAGUACAAAUAAAAUGUGUGGCUUACCUUGUGAAAGUCUCUCGUAAAUUGCCUCUGAAUUGCUGACAAGGCAGUCGGCAUCACAGAUCAUCUGAAAUGUGAAGUUGUAACCUAUUAAGGUCAUUUAAUGCACAGAAUUAAUUUAUGUAGGUCAUAGUAACCACAAAUCACUCUUACCUGAACAGUGAUGCUGUGGAAGGAUUUCCUGUUAAUGUGAUCUCCCUCGUGUUCUCCUGAGGGGCGUUUGAUCCUGAUGUGUGUGCAAUCCACUGCACCAAUGAUUUUAGGGAAAGCUGUAACGAAAAAUAGUGAGUAUCUAACUGCGACUGAUCUAAUUAGACGCUAAUGGUUGCACUUUGAAAUUGAGGUUACCUGCAAUCUUGUAAAACUCCUUAAUGUGGAGGGGUCUUCUGUGGCCAAGGAAGGUGAUGAAUAUGUUGAUGAAUGACUUCAGCUCCAGACAAACACGUGUUAUUGUGCAGCAAAUGGUUCCUUUUAUUGAGGUAUCUACAUCUCCAACAGAAUAAAGGAAGCUCCCACUUGCAAAAAAUCUCAAUGUAAUACAGACUAUCUGUGGUACAGUGAGAGCAUGGCUUCGUAUAUAUAGCCCUUGUCACAGAUUUAAUUGAAAACACCUUUGCAACUUCAACAUAUGCAUGGACUUUUAAUAUGCAGAUGCAACAUACUUAGAAAGACCAUGGACAUAAUGUAAAACAUUAAUUCCACACAGGAUUGACGGUGGAAAUACAGGUAAAUCUCUAGGAUUAAUCCCAGCCUGGUCUGGAGCAGACUAGCUGCAGAGAAUAAAUCACCAUAGUAACUUGGCCGGGUUAAGCUUGACCUGCUUUCAUGCAACCGACUUGAGCCCAGCUUAAUCCCUUAUCUUGGUUUUGUGCAAUACCCCUCUGCUGACUGACUGCAGGGGCAGAGCUACAAACGCUGCGAUCAGUUUUCUUUCCUGAUGCUAUGGGAACUUUGCUGGUCUUUUUCUCAUAUUAAUCUCCUUCAGAAAUGAUUCAAUCUGAGAUGUUCAAAAUAGUUGUCUACCAAAACAUGUAGGAUGAGGGAACAGAGCAGUGGAACUGCUGCCGUGUUGCAUGCAGACGACCCAUGUCAAGCCUGUCUUUUGCAGAGGGCGCAUUUAUCUGAUAAGUUGUAUGGACAGUUCAUAUUUAGAGACAACAGAAUGUGACAGCUUUGUCACAAUAACAACUUCGAAUUUGGAUAUUUUAUAACUGCUUCACUUCAAUGGUCACAAAGUGGCGCAUCAAGAGUAGAUGAAAAGCUUAAAUGUCGUCUUACUGUAAAUGCUCAUGUUCUGUUUUCCUUGUAAUGUCACCAUUAAAUACAUUUGAACUUUG